RNAcentral lists this ribosomal RNA (497 nucleotides) under uncultured bacterium. RNAcentral's name for it is "partial 16S ribosomal RNA". It matches the Rfam family "Bacterial small subunit ribosomal RNA", at positions 28 to 507 of the family's 1533-position model. The record is from RNAcentral.
GAUGAGCGCUGGCGGCGUGCCUAAUACAUGCAAGUCGAGCGAACGGACGAGAAGCUUGCUUCUCUGAUGUUAGCGGCGGACGGGUGAGUAACACGUGGAUAACCUACCUAUAAGACUGGGAUAACUUCGGGAAACCGGAGCUAAUACCGGAUGAUAUUUUGAACCGCAUGGUUCAAAAGUGAAAGACGGUCUUGCUGUCACUUAUAGAUGGAUCCGCGCUGCAUUAGCUAGUUGGUAAGGUAACGGCUUACCAAGGCAACGAUGCAUAGCCGACCUGAGAGGGUGAUCGGCCACACUGGAACUGAGACACAGUCCAGACUCCUACGGGAGGCAGCAGUAGGGAAUCUUCCGCAAUGGGCGAAAGCCUGACGGAGCAACGCCGCGUGAGUGAUGAAGGUCUUCGGAUCGUAAAACUCUGUUAUUAGGGAAGAACAUAUGUGUAAGUAACUGUGCACAUCUUGACGGUACCUAAUCAGAAAGCCACGGCUAACUACGUG